GUCUACAGCCAUACCACCCUGAACACACCCAAUCUCAUCUGAUCUUGUGAGCUAAGCAGGGUCGGGCCUUGUUACUACUUCGAUGGAAGACCACCUGGGAAUAUCGGGUGCUGUAGGCU
This 119-nucleotide ribosomal RNA is filed under the name Peromyscus maniculatus bairdii (prairie deer mouse). The record is from RNAcentral. Lineage: Eukaryota; Metazoa; Chordata; Mammalia; Rodentia; Cricetidae.